AGCGAACGCUGGCGGCAGGCCUAACACAUGCAAGUCGAACGGACCCUCCGGGGUUAGUGGCGGAGGGGUGAGGAACACGGGGGAAGGAGCCCGUAGGUACGGAACAGCUGCCGGAAAGGGGAGGUAAGGCCGAAGGUGCCAUUCGGGGGAAAGAUCUAUCGCCUUUAGCGCGGGCCGGGUCUGAUUAGCUGGUUGGGGAGGGAACGGCGCACCAAGGCGACGAUGAGGAGCUGGUCUGAGAGGAUGCCCCGGCACGCUGGGACUGCGACCCGGCCCAGACUCCUACGGGGGGCAGCAGUGGGGAAUCUUGCGCAAUGGGCGAAAGCCUGACGCAGCCAUGCCGCGUGAAUCAUGCAGGUCUUAGGAUUGUACAAUUCUUUCUCCGGAGACGUUAAUGACGGUACCCGGAGAAGAAGCCCCGGCUAACUUCGUG
RNAcentral lists this ribosomal RNA (433 nucleotides) under uncultured bacterium. Its description in RNAcentral is "partial 16S ribosomal RNA". It matches the Rfam family "Bacterial small subunit ribosomal RNA", at positions 30 to 507 of the family's 1533-position model. The record is from RNAcentral.